Oxyura jamaicensis (ruddy duck) is the source of this 4270-nucleotide long non-coding RNA. RefSeq lists it as uncharacterized. The record is from RefSeq and is a predicted model, not a curated record. Lineage: Eukaryota; Metazoa; Chordata; Aves; Anseriformes; Anatidae. The transcript has 5 exons.
UCCCUCUGUAUAAAGGCUGUGGGUGUCUCUGCCUGGCUGAGCUCAUUGCACGGAUGUGCAAUGUGAAGUGGGAGCAUUCCUGCAGCCUCCUUUCAGCUUCGAAGUAACAUAAUGAAAACCUCAUGGAUGCUGAAGAAACUGGAGCGUCUCAAGCCUGAUAUGUGAAACCAAGAAUCUGGAAAACCUUGGAGGCUCUAUCAAGACUCCUUCCAGCAAGCGGGGCUCUGAGUGAAGAAGGGAUGUAUCUUGGACUGUCUCAAGAGCAAGAGAUGGGAAUCAUUUUUCACUUCUCUCCAUUCUGAGAGCUGAACAAGUGUUUUCCUUCUGCUACAGACAGAAGGCGGGCACUGAUGCCCAUCAUGUACCAACCACAAUUCACUUUCCUGCCAUGCUGAAGAAGAACAACUCUACGACUUCCACGUAAGAAGAUCGGAGCUGAAGAAAAGUCCUUCUUGUCAAAUUUGUUAUUGGAUCUCAUUCCACCAUUUUCAGAGAACAGAGAAACACGAAACCAAUCUGUUUUCAGGUGCUGGUUUAGGUGAGCUGGAGAAGUUGAACAAUGCCUGUGAUUUCUGGGCAGCUUGUCUAGGUUUCACAGAAGCCCCAGGUUGCAGAGCAAAGGCGCUUGUGUCGGGGUAUUGCUUUCAUUGUUGCUAGCUUGUAAAAGUUAUUUCCAAUUCUUAUGCCUACAGGGAAAAAAAAAAAAAACCACCAACCAACAACUUGGAGGCACAGAUCCUUAAAAGCAAAUGUCAAAUAAAACAUUUGAUUAAUAAUCUUAUCAUUUCUAACCCAGCCACCUUAUUUUGGAAGGCUGGUGAUUGAGAUCACUGUUAAUUGAAGAUGACGCCUUAAAAUUAGCCCUCUGCGGAGGUAUCUCAUUGAAUCAGGUCCUAAAGGAGUGAUAAUACAUCAAACAUCGUAUAUGAAAACAAAUAAACCUCUUCCCUGCAUAACUAAGAGCUACUUCUGCUGUUGGAACUGAAGCGUUAACAGUGCUGGAGUUAGACUGAGAGCUUGUAUUGCUGGUUUCUCUUUUUUUGCCUGCCAGCCCCAGCUUUUUCCCAUUCAGGCUGUGGUCACCACUGGCUUCCCCCGCGGGUGUGGGGCUGGUGGCCAUGCCCGAAGCCCUGCAGUGCUGCCUCCCCUUAGCUGAAGAACCUGAACCUGAAACUUUGCCACAGAAUAAAACAGAUGUUAACAAAAAAGCCACGCAGCCACCUCAAAGUAGCCCGGGUGCAGGAGCCGGGUGGUGGUGGUGGAAGAAAGGAGGGGGUGAGGAUGGCACUGGGGCCUCCAGCCAUCCCAGCAAUGCUGGCUUUAGCCAGUGGCAUUACCAGCCGGCACUUCUUGAAGUGCUAAAAGCUUUGGACACAGAUUACCAUGUGCAUAUUUCAAUUUCCCUUAAAUCCAGGGAGAUUUCCUCUUAGAGCACUCUCUCUCCCUCGCUCUUUUUUUUCCUCUCUCUCUUUUUUUUUUUUUUUUUUUUUUCUUUUCUUCAGCUAGAUUGUGCUUGAUGGGGACUGUUAACUGAAUGCAGCAUAUUAUAUAUUACUUCAAUAAAUCACCGCCAGCCGAAGCAUUCAAUAUCAUGCGGAGCAGUAAUCAGGGGAAGUCUUAAUCACUCUUUAAAUGGUUUGAAUUUAUGCCCUGCUUUCCACAGGCUCCCGUCACUGCUGGGAAGGCACGGCAGUGGCCCCCCAGGCCCUGGACCCGGUCCGGGUGUCUUGCUGGGUGAGGAGGUGCUGCUCUGCGGCCGCGUGAGCAGCUGCUCCUGCUGGGCUGAGCCCACACAGAUGUGCGGCAGGUCCUGACUUUGUUUCAAUGGGGAAAAAUAAAGCCUUUUAAUAUAGACUGCUCCUUUUCAAAGAAAUCAUCCAAAAAGAGCAAGGCCAGCUGUUGUAAUCCUCACUUUACACUGUUCUGUCCAUUUGCGUUUGGUCCAGGAGAUUAAAAACGUUUCCUGGAUUUUUGCGAGUGAGUGGGAGAAGGGGAGAGGGAGGGCUGUCUUCAAAGAAAACAACCAGCAACCCACAAAGUGCUAAGUCUGAUUUUUAAACAAACAGAUUUAUGACCGACGGCCCGACCUGCCGAGAGGCUCCGUGAAGGCAAAGCCCUCCGCUGGCGGAGGCGCCCGGUGUCAGCCCACCGGCAGGGAGGGCGGCAGCCUUCCUCCCCUGCACCGUCCUGCGCCGGCCUUCACCUUCCCCUCGCAGCAACCGUAGGCAGAUGUUCAUGAUGUCAUCUCUCCUGGCAAUGGGAGAAAAAGAGAGAGAGAAAAAAUACAAACUCAUAGCAGGAAACAAAUGCCCUUUUCUGGGGGGGAAUUUAACCAUUUUGGGUGCCCUCAUGCCCGUGAGCGUGGCACUGAGGCUCACCAGGGCCAUCGUGGGGCGGGAGGUGAGGUUAAUGGGCUCGUUAACUGCAUCUGGUGGGAGAGCCCUGCGCGGGCUGCGCCGGCUUCUCCAGCUCCGAAACACUCGGCAGGGCCCUCCAGCUGGAGAGCACGAGCCUCCCCCCGCCUUCAAAGCGCUCCCACCGCCGGGCCGUAAAUCACGGCUCUCGCAGUGGAAACUGGAACGGGACCCGAGCUGAGGCGAGGCGCAGCAGCUGAGACCCUUGAACAAUAGUCCUACACACAGGAAACUCGCCUAUAAUAGUGAUUUUGAGUUCCAAGGAGCUUUGGUUUCUGACUGUUGUUUUUUUUUUUCUUCCCCAACCCAGCCCCGUUUGGUUUUUCAUUCAGUUCCAUGUUGUUCGUGUCUCUUAAUAGGGCAUCUUUCAUUAUCAUUAUCCCUAAUAGUGGUUUAUUGUAUUAGUUACAGUUAAUUUAAAUGUUACCGAAGCAUUGAAAACAGAUUGCAGAUGUUUUGAAACAGAUGUUAUUUUAAUGUUAAAACAAAAUCAUGAAUAUUUAUAGGUCAUUAUUGCCUGGGUUGAAUUAGACUCUUUAAAUAGUAAUGUAUGGGCUUAACAUCUUUUGAAGGAAAUGCUCCAAAAAAAGGUGAAUGGAAAAACACUGUCAUACGAAGACGUGUAAAUCGUUUCUUCUGCCUUACUGACUUUUCCUUUAUGAAUGGUCAGAAUUAAUUACGAUUUUAUUACUAAACCAGGUACUAUUCCUGCUCUGUAACUGCAGUUACAGGACAAAGUUUUCAGCUCAAAAACACCUUUCCAGCUCUCCGUUUCAUAGAAAAGAGGCCCAUCAGCUCCCUGCAAGCAGACCUAAAGCUGGAGCAAUAUUUUGAGGUAGAGUCAUCAGUAUUAAAGCAAAAAUAAGGUGAAGAUGAUGCAAGCACACAACUCACUUGGUGUCAGUCUUUCCUACAGAAACACAAAGGGGGUUUGUUAAUGCCACAUGCAGGCUGCCUCUGUUUGAGUCAUAUUUCUCUCCUUAUGGAGAUGAAGUUAGUCUUUAAGGCAUCAGCUCAAAAUGGCCUUUCAUUCAUUACAAAGUUAUUUAGUUACGGGUAGGUAACUCCAAAUGACAUUUCUACAUCUCGCACUUUUUUAGUUGAUCCUAGCUGCUAAAUGACAUGGAGAGAGCGGCAGAGUAUGGUGGUGGAGUUCAGUGUGUUUUGGCUAAUUUUGGAUGGGGCCCAUGCUUCUGGAGUUGGAAAUUUGCCUCCAAGAUGAUGAGCUUGUGCACCUCCCUCUGGGAGAGCUGUGAAGUCGGGAAGUUAAAAAAAAAAAAAAGUUGGUGAAAAAUUAAAACCAAGAAGAAUGUAAGCACUGGGAUAUUUCUCUGCUCUCCAGAAGGACAUGCAAGCACUUCUGCUACCUCAGAUGAGUCGUGUCCUCUCUAGCUCAGUAGUACUGACUCUGGGGGUAGUGCUGGGGAUGGAGAGGCUGGUGGCAAGGGGACAGGCUAUCAGGCAGCCACCCACCCUUCCUACUGCACUUUGCUUGUGUCUGCAGGGAUGAUGUGCAGCAUUGAGCCUUUUUUUUUUUUUUUUUGACUUCAAAUUUACUAAUUUGGAGGAAAGCCUGAGUCCUCCUGAAGCUGGCAGGACUCCUUGUCUACGGGCACAAAAUCCCAGAGCAGAUGGGCACACAUUUCGGCUAAGCACAGCAGCAGUUGUUGAGCAUUAGGGUCUGUAAUCUCAUCCAGGAGCAUCCCAACAGCCGCCUCUGCUUCUCCUUCGGCCAAGGGGCGCGAGCAUCACCCCGUGCUGCUUGGGCUGCCUCCCGCUGCUCACAGCAUCACACUGCUGCCACUGCACACUGCAGCGUUGGGCCUCAAAAACUCAGGACCUGCGUUUUCCAGCAA